GUGCUCACUUUGGCAGCACCUAUUUUAAAAUUGGACUGGUACAGAGGUGAUUAGUAUAGUCACUGCACAUGAUUGACAAGCCAAUUCAUGAUGUGUUCCAUGUUAGA
Otolemur garnettii (small-eared galago) is the source of this 107-nucleotide non-coding RNA. Lineage: Eukaryota; Metazoa; Chordata; Mammalia; Primates; Galagidae. The record is from Rfam.